CGAUGAAGGACGUGCUAAUCUGCGAAAAGCGUCGGUAAGGUGAUAUGAACCGUUAUAACCGGCGAUGUCCGAAUGGGGAAACCCAGUGCAAUUCGUUGCACUAUCGUUAACUGAAUACAUAGGUUAACGAGGCGAACCGGGGGAACUGAAACAUCUAAGUACCCCGAGGAAAAGAAAUCAACCGAGAUUCCCCCAGUAGCGGCGAGCGAACGGGGAGCAGCCCAGAGUCUGAAUCAGCUUGUGUGUUAGUGGAACGGUCUGGAAAGUCCGACGGUACAGGGUGAUAGUC
RNAcentral lists this ribosomal RNA (289 nucleotides) under Klebsiella pneumoniae. RNAcentral describes it as "partial 23S ribosomal RNA". It matches the Rfam family "Bacterial large subunit ribosomal RNA", at positions 47 to 372 of the family's 2925-position model. Lineage: Bacteria; Pseudomonadati; Pseudomonadota; Gammaproteobacteria; Enterobacterales; Enterobacteriaceae. The record is from RNAcentral.